ACGGAAGGCAGCAGUGAGGAAUAUUGGUCAAUGGGCGGAAGCCUGAACCAGCCAAGUCGCGUGAAGGAUGAAGGUAUUAUGUAUUGUAAACUUCUUUAGCAGCAGAGUAAUAAGGGGGUCGAGACCUCCGAUGCAAGUAUGCUGAGAAUAAGGAUCGGCUAACUCCGUGCCAGCAGCCGCGGUAAUACGGAGGAUCCGAGCGUUAUCCGGAUUUACUGGGUGUAAAGGGCGUGUAGGCGGAGCUGCAAGUCAGAUGUGAAAUCCCGGGGCUCAACCCCGGAACUGCAUUUGAAACUGUAGCCCUUGAGUAUCGGAGAGGCAAGCGGAAUUCCUAGUGUAGCGGUGAAAUGCGUAGAUAUUAGGAGGAACACCAGUGGCGAAGGCGGCUUGCUGGACGACAACUGACGCUGAGGCGCGAAAGCGUGGGGAGCAAACAGGAUUAGAUACCCUGGUA
RNAcentral lists this ribosomal RNA (454 nucleotides) under uncultured Clostridium sp. RNAcentral's name for it is "partial 16S ribosomal RNA". It matches the Rfam family "Bacterial small subunit ribosomal RNA", at positions 341 to 792 of the family's 1533-position model. Lineage: Bacteria; Bacillati; Bacillota; Clostridia; Eubacteriales; Clostridiaceae. The record is from RNAcentral.